RNAcentral lists this ribosomal RNA (468 nucleotides) under uncultured bacterium. RNAcentral's name for it is "partial 16S ribosomal RNA". It matches the Rfam family "Bacterial small subunit ribosomal RNA", at positions 28 to 507 of the family's 1533-position model. The record is from RNAcentral.
GACGAACGCUGGCGGCGUGCUUAACACAUGCAAGUCGAACGGAAAGGCCCUGCUUUUGUGGGGUGCUCGAGUGGCGAACGGGUGAGUAACACGUGAGUAACCUGCCCUUGACUUUGGGAUAACUUCAGGAAACUGGGGCUAAUACCGGAUAGGAGCUCCUGCUGCAUGGUGGGGGUUGGAAAGUUUCGGCGGUUGGGGAUGGACUCGCGGCUUAUCAGCUUGUUGGUGGGGUAGUGGCUUACCAAGGCUUUGACGGGUAGCCGGCCUGGGAGGGUGAACGGCCACAUUGGUACUAAGAUACGGACCAGUCUCGAACGGGGGGCAGUGGGGGGGAAUAUUGCACAGUGAGCGGAAGCCUGAGACGGCAGCGCCGCGUGCGGGAUGACGGCCUUCGGGUUGUGAACCGCUUUAGCUUGUGACGAAGCGUGAGUGACGGUAAUGGAAAAAGAAGCACCGGCUAACUACGUG